Molecule: long non-coding RNA, 327 nt
Filed under: Vigna radiata
Lineage: Eukaryota; Viridiplantae; Streptophyta; Magnoliopsida; Fabales; Fabaceae
Description: long non-coding RNA (VRAD_LNC000328)
Source: RNAcentral
UGAAUGAUUAUUUUUGUGUGAUAAUUGAUAGACUAAUUAAGAUUAUGGGUAGGUGAUAAUAUGGAAUGAUGUAAUGAAAAAUGUUGAUGAAAAAGGUAAUAGCUAGCAGUCAAUGUCACUGAGAUAUUUAGCAGAAAAAUGAAGAGUGAGAAUGAUGAGAGCGUGUCACUGCAUAAUUCCUUGCAGAUUGGUGCAGCUACAGAUAUAUAGCUACCUGCACUCACUGUCUCUGUAAAUCUCAAUCUCUCUACUUUGCUUGCUUCUGUCUUUUCUCUGAGAGAGACUCACAUCACUGUUACUCUGUUCCUGCCAUGCAAUACCCCAUCC